UCGGCCGACUCGAUCGGCGAGUCCAUCCGCUCGACAGUGAGGAAGGCGGCCAGGUUAGCGGUGUACGACGAGAUCAUGAUCAG
Molecule: microRNA precursor, 83 nt
Filed under: Anopheles gambiae str. PEST
Lineage: Eukaryota; Metazoa; Arthropoda; Insecta; Diptera; Culicidae
Description: partial AGAP013625-RA
Source: RNAcentral